Podarcis lilfordi (Lilford's wall lizard) is the source of this 73-nucleotide non-coding RNA. Lineage: Eukaryota; Metazoa; Chordata; Lepidosauria; Squamata; Lacertidae. The record is from the annotation of a GenBank genome assembly.
GGGACUGUAGCUCAGUGGAAGAGCACAUGGUUUGUCAUGCAGAAGGUUGCAGGUUCAAUCCCAGGCAAUUCCA